UACGUAGGGUGCGAGCGUUGUCCGGAAUUACUGGGCGUAAAGGGCGCGUAGGCGGCCUUCUAAGUCGAACGUGAAAUCCCUGGGCUCAACCCAGGAACUGCGUCCGAUACUGGGAGGCUUGAAUCCGGGAGAGGGAUGUGGAAUUCCAGGUGUAGCGGUGAAAUGCGUAGAUAUCUGGAGGAACACCGGUGGCGAAGGCGGCAUCCUGGACCAUAACUGACACUGAGAGACGAAAGCUAGGGGAGCGAAUGGG
Molecule: ribosomal RNA, 253 nt
Filed under: uncultured bacterium
Lineage: Bacteria
Description: partial 16S ribosomal RNA
Rfam family: Bacterial small subunit ribosomal RNA
Source: RNAcentral